CUCAAUCAUCUUGACUUUAAGAAAUCCAGACUCAAAAGAAAAGGAGCACUAGUACAAUUAUGAGUGCCUAUGAUUCACAAGAACAGCUCUUUUAUGUUGGCUGUAAUAAUGCCAUUCUGGGUAAUGGACCAGACAGAAAGGAAGAAAACGCAGGACCAGAAGAGCCACAAACAACAUUUCAGGAUCAGCGUAACGGUUGCCAGAACAUGAAAAAUCGCAGAGCUUCCAGGCCCUGAGCCAACCUUAUUCAGGACUCAGGGGGGAAAAAACCAGUCUGGGUAAAUUCUCAGUGUAAACUCCUAGGGGAGCACAUCGCUAUGUCA
RNAcentral lists this long non-coding RNA (323 nucleotides) under Equus asinus (donkey). RNAcentral's name for it is "lncRNA (ENSEASG00005033164.1)". The record is from RNAcentral. Lineage: Eukaryota; Metazoa; Chordata; Mammalia; Perissodactyla; Equidae.